GGAAAGUAUGCCUGAAUAAAAACCAGGUUCAUUUUGUAAUGAAAACGAAACAAAACAAAAAUGUUGCUUUGAGGUUACAGUGUCUGUUUUAAACAUCGUUGUUUAUCAAAUAACUCUUCUUCAAGGUCUGAUUCACAUCUGUCUCUUAAAAAAAUUCAUAAUGAUAGAGUCAUGAGUCUCCUAUUAUCUGGCUAUCUUUCCUUACCUAACUGUUCUCAUCUGCCACGAAGCUCCAAUUCUAGCCAGGUAAGCCUGCCCAUUGCUCUGUCUUUGCUUCUGCUCCUGUCCCCUUGUGCUUUGCUAUGGCAAAGAUAGAUAAUGUUCGUUCCAUAGUGUAGGGUUGUUGCUGAGAAGCUCUGCCCAGCCAGGGCCCUCAUUUUCCAGUCCUGCCCUCCCCUGCAUCCGGGUAGGACUAUGUAACUAGUUAUUGCCCGUGGAUUAUGAGCUGAGCUGAUGCGUAUCAUGCCUUGGCCAAGUGGUUAAGAAGUGGUGGAACAUACCCUUUCUUUUCUCUUUUCCCAUCUGCCCACUGGAUGUUGACACACCAGAUGAUCAUGGAAGCCACAUGUGGAAGGUGGUGGAGACUCCCAGCCUACGGCUCUGCAUGAAGCUAUGGAGCAAUCUUCCUUCACCCACACAGCCUACCUUCCACUCUUGCCACCAAGCAGGAACAUCUGUUUUGGAUUUCAUGAUCGUGUCAUUUAGAAGGACCCAGAACUGGAUACCAAUUGUUGUUCUACAUGGCAAUUAUAAAUAGACAAGAAUACCAUAUAUGAAUAUCACUUUUCAGACCAUAAAAGGAGCCUCGGGAUCAUUGGCAAAUGGACUAGAACUGACUGAACCUCAGAAGCACUAACUUCAUGCUGACUGAAGCAAUGAAGAAAAGAAAACAAGGGAAAGCAAAUGACUUGUCAUGUAAUCAAUUAAUUUUUUUCAUACACUAUUAAAUUUAUGGGGGAUAAAAAAAAACCUAUACCAAAACCAAGAAAUUAUCUUUAAUCUGAGGAGAAGGGAACUGAGUUUUUGUGUGCCAAACACAAAAUACCAGAACCUGUAUAUGUGUCAUUUUGUUUUUCUCAAAUCAACCACACAGGGCAAACAUUUUAGUCCAUGGUACAGACAGAAAAACUGAGGUUUAGAGAAUUUUAAGCAUUUUACCGAAGAGCUAUUAUAUGGCAGUUCUGAUAUUAAAACCUAAACCUCAGAUCCUGGGGUCCAGGUCUAGCCCAUGCUGAAGUCUGAGGGGAGUGGGUGGAUGAGCAGAAAGAAAACUCGAGGGGCCGUAGACAGGUGAACGAUGAUUUUAUUCAGCAGCAGCUCUCAUUAACAGCUUACUUAACACUAGCUCUUUAUACUGUCUGCCCUGUCUUGGCUGCUUUGGCCGGUAGCUCCCACACAGCAUUGUGUUACCAGCUCUCUCUUGCCUUCAGGGUCAGCAGCUUAACUCUUUCUCUGGGGACUACCAAGCAAAACUGUGUCCUGCUCCCUCUUGCGGAUGGACAGCUUUGGCUCGCUUUCUCUGGGUGCCAGUGUGCCCGCCAUGUCAAGCCAUGUUGAGCUGAGCUGAAUCCCAGGAGCCCCUGUACAGCGUUAGCAGGGCAAUUAUACCUUUUGCGGACAACAGUGGCACAGAGCCACGUACGAACUUACACAAACAGGUAAUAUAACAAGUGGAGAUCUGCGCCUGCACACCAGACUCACUGAAUCAAUCAGGCCUGAAUAUCUGCUUCGACAUAUUCCUUGACCAAAGCACAUUCAUAUACCUUACACUAAAUGUGUUUGAGUUCAACAAUCCGAUUUUUUCCUCUAUGCCACACUAUCUCUUCAUGAAGUCAGAAGUUGGGGAGAAUUUCAGAAGACCUUAGGAGAGGUUUUUUUUUUUUGGAGACAGAGUCCUGCUCUGUUGCCCAGGCCGGAGUGCAGUGGUAUUAACUUGGCUCACUGCAACCUGAGCCUCCCAAGUUCAAGUGAUUCUCCUGCCUCAGCCUCCUGAGUAGCUGGGAUUACAGGCACGCAUCACCACAACCAGGUAAUUUUUUUAUUUUAGUAGAGACAGGGGUUUCACCAUGUUGGCCAGGCUGGUCUCAAACUUCUCACCUCAAGUGAUCUGCCAGCCUCGGCCUCCCAAAGUGCUGGGAUUACAGGUGUGAGCCAUUGCAGGAACUGCCAAUUUUCCCCUAACAUGUGUGUGGUGUGUGUGUGUUUAAAGUAUUGUAUUUUUUGACAUUUUAUUGGUUAAUUUGCAAGCAGAGCAAUAAAUGAGUAGAAUUAUUCCAAUUUAAUAUCCUCUUAGAUAACUAUGAAGCCAAGGCAAGUGCUGAAGAUCAUCUGGUAAUCUGCCUCUUUCCAAAAAUAGAGCUGGGAUGACUCAUGUGCAUGGAGUUGGUAUUCAUACCUGGACCCUGAGCUGUGGUCCCCAAUGACUUAUUGCUUCUCUGAAUGUUGACAGCAGCAUCUAAAAUCACAGCUAAAAAUAGAAGGGGGCCAAGAAAUUAGACACUGCUCUCAACUUCCAGAAACCUCACAGUGGCAUGUUAAAAAAAACAGAGUAGGGCUUCAAUAGGCAGCUAAAAGAUUAAAUUCUGGGAUGGCAGAAUUAGCCAAUUUGAAGCAUAAUUGUUUGAGGGGCAAUUUAUCCUGUGACUUGUAUAAAUAAGAAAGCCAGGCAGUUCACAAACACUGUCUAAUUUUAUUCCUUUUUAAGAUCAAGGUGUUGAUAUGUUUACGAGCAGAUAAUAGGCAUUGCUUAAUACCACUAAUUGCUACUUAGUGUUAACUUUGGGCUUUUUCUUCUUAUGUGCUUUAUAAUCUCUUUAUUGGUUAAUUAGAGCAGCACCAGCUGUGAAGGAGGUAAGUUAGUGUUGCCGUCUGCAUCUGCAGGUGAGAGACUAGAAGUCAGUUACCACUACCCAAUGGAGACUUCACCUCAGUUUUUCCUUUGCCACAUCCUGUUUCAAAAUUAGGUGCCCCUGGGAGGACCCACCUACUUGUUAAUACUGUAAAUAAAAUAAGGUCCUAACUGGCUUCCCAACAGCCUCCUGUCUUCCUCUAAUCUAAUGGUCCUUAAACUUUAGCAUGUACCAGAAUCACCUGGUGUGCUUGUUAAAACACAGAUUGCUGGGGUCCCACCCUGACGGCUUCUUAUUCACCAUGUCUAAGGUGUAGCUCCAAAAUGUGUAUUUUUAGCAAGUUCCCUAGUGAUUCUGAUGCUACCUGCCUGAGGGCCACACUCUGAGAACUACUGCUCCUACUAGAUAUUUCAAGGCUGUCCUAAAAGAAAGGCAUGGGCAGUGUUUAAAGACUUUGUGAAAGAAACACUAAGGAACAAGUAUAUGCUCUGUUUUUCCCUUUUAAAUAAAUAGAAGUAAAGGGAAAGCUACAAUGACUCUAAUUUAGUGGAUCUCAAAGAGUGGUUCCCCAGCCAGAAAUAUCUGCAUCACCCAGGAACUUGCAAGAAAGGCAGAUUCUCAGUUCCCACCCGGACCAGCUGAAUAAGCGAUUUUGGAGGUAGAGUGCAGCGGUCUGUGGUUAACAAGCCCUCCAGGCAUUAAAGUGUGAGAAUCACUGCCUUCGAUCCUUUCUCUACAUGGCCGUCAGUGACCCUUUUUUUAUUGAAACUUCUAUUGUGAUAAUUGUAGCUUCACAUGUGGUGUAAAAAGCAACAAAAGAAGAUUCCCUGUACACUUUUCCCAGUUCCCUCAAUGGUAAGAUUUUGCAAAGCUGCGGUCUAACAUCACAAAAAGAUUAUUAACAUUGACAUGGUACAUCUAUUUUCAUCAGCUUUUCCCAG
This is a long non-coding RNA of Callithrix jacchus (white-tufted-ear marmoset), 3790 nucleotides long. Lineage: Eukaryota; Metazoa; Chordata; Mammalia; Primates; Cebidae. The record is from Ensembl.